UCCUGGCUAGUCACCUGGUGAGGUGUCUGGGGUCUGGAGGGCUGUUUUCCUCUGUUUUCCUGGCUAGUCACCUGGUGAGGUGUUCUGGGGUCUGGAGGUCUGUUUUCCUGGCUAGUCACCUGGUGAGGUGUUCUGGGGUCUGGAGGGCUGUUUUCCUGUUUUCUGCUAGUCACCUGGUGAUGUGUUCUGGGGUCUGGAGGGCUGUUUUCCUGGAUGGUCACCUGGUGAGGUGUUCUGGGGUCUGGAGGGCUGUUUUCCCCUCUAGUCACCUGGUGAGGUGUUCUGGGGUCUGGAGGGCUGUUUUCCUGGCUAGUCACCUGGUGAGGUGUUCUGGGGUCUGGAGGGCUGUUUUCCUGGCUGGUCACCUGGUGAGGUGUUCUGGGGUCUGGAGGGCUGUUUUCCUGGAUGGUCACCUGGUGAGGUGUUCUGGGGUCUGGAGGGCUGUUUUCCUGGCUAGUCACCUGGUGAGGUGUUCUGGGGUCUGGAGGGCUGUUUUCCCCUGGCUAGUCACCUGGUGAUGUGUUCUGGGGUCUGGAGGUCUGUUUUCCUGACUAGUCACCUGGUGAGGUGUUCUGGGGUCUGGAGGGCUGUUUCACCUCUGUUUUCUGACUAGUCACCUGGUGAGGUGUUCUGGGGUCUGGAGGGCUGUUUUCCUGGCUAGUCACCUGGUGAGGUGUUCUGGGGUCUGGAGGGCUGUUUUCCCCUCUAGUCACCUGGUGAGGUGUUCUGGGGUCUGGAGGGCUGUUUUCCUGACUAGUCACCUGGUGAGGUGUCCUGGGGUCUGGAGGG
Molecule: long non-coding RNA, 789 nt
Organism: Oncorhynchus tshawytscha (Chinook salmon)
Lineage: Eukaryota; Metazoa; Chordata; Actinopteri; Salmoniformes; Salmonidae
Exons: 3
Source: RefSeq, a predicted model, not a curated record